CCCAGCUGCUGGGCUCGCCUUGGCACUUGCUUCUCUGGUCUUGGGGUGAAGGCCUUGCCUGCGGGAGCUGGGUUUCUUCAGGAGCCGCCCCAGAGGGCGUGGAGGGUGAGGACAUCUCCCUGCCCGUGGCUGAUGCGGAGCGCAGGCUUACUUGCUGCACAGGCCAGAGACAAUUCCUUGAGAUCUAGAACAACGGAUGAGGGGAUGCCUCGGCAGUGUCUCCAGCAGUGCUCAGCCUCAAAAAUCUCUUCAGUGGCUCCCACUGUCCGCGCUCAGGCUAAAGUCCAAGCCUCCAGACAAGCUGAUGAGAGUCUUGCCAUCUGCUCCUGCUGUCUCAGGCCCGCGGCCCCUCUCUGACAACCUCCUUCUCUCUGGCUUCCCCAUUCACCUGACCGAGUCCGUGUCAAGGGUCAUUCCGCAGCAGCCCUGCUGGUCGCCCCCUCGGCCAGGAGCGUGUCAGGCGUCCCUUCCAGGGAAGGCUGUGGCGUCUCAAGCUCCCUGUCACAAUUCUUGUGGGUCUGUUGAGGUU
Long non-coding RNA from Talpa occidentalis (Iberian mole), 529 nucleotides. RefSeq lists it as uncharacterized. The transcript is spliced from 3 exons. The record is from RefSeq and is a predicted model, not a curated record. NCBI's taxonomy places the organism in Eukaryota, Metazoa, Chordata, Mammalia, Eulipotyphla, Talpidae.